GACGAACGCUGGCGGCGUGCUUAACACAUGCAAGUCGAACGCUGAAGCUCAGCUUUUGUUGGGUGGAUGAGUGGCGAACGGGUGAGUAACACGUGAGUAACCUGCCCCAUUCUUUGGGAUAACGCCCGGAAACGGGCGCUAAUACUGGAUAUUCACUGGUCUUCGCAUGGGGGUUGGUGGAAAGGGUUUUUCUGGUGGGGGAUGGGCUCGCGGCCUAUCGGCUUGUUGGUGGGGUGAUGGGCUAACAAGGCGUUGACGGGUAGCCGGGCUGAGUGGGUGCCCGGUCACAUUGGGACGGAGAUACGGCCCAGACUCCGACGGGAGGCAGCAUUGGGGAAUAUUGCACAAUGGGCGCAAGCGUGAUGCAGCGACGCCGCGUGAGGGAUGGAGGCCGUCGGGUUGUGAACCUCUUUCGCUCAUGGUCAAGCCGAAACAAUGGUUGUGGUGAGGGUAGUGGGUAAAGAAGCGCCGGCUAACUACGUG
RNAcentral lists this ribosomal RNA (483 nucleotides) under uncultured bacterium. Its description in RNAcentral is "partial 16S ribosomal RNA". It matches the Rfam family "Bacterial small subunit ribosomal RNA", at positions 28 to 507 of the family's 1533-position model. The record is from RNAcentral.